AGCGAACGCUGGCGGCAGGCCUAACACAUGCAAGUCGAAUGAACUCUUCGGAGUUAGUGGCGGACGGGUGAGUAACACGUGGGAACGUGCCUUUAGGUUCGGAAUAACUCAGGGAAACUUGUGCUAAUACCGAAUGUGCCCUUCGGGGGAAAGAUUUAUCGCCUUUAGAGCGGCCCGCGUCUGAUUAGCUAGUUGGUGAGGUAAAGGCUCACCAAGGCUACGAUCAGUAGCUGGUCUGAGAGGAUGACCAGCCACAUUGGGACUGAGACACGGCCCAAACUCCUACGGGAGGCAGCAGUGGGGAAUCUUGCGCAAUGGGCGAAAGCCUGACGCAGCCAUGCCGCGUGGAUGAUGAAGGUCUUAGGAUUGUAAAAUCCUUUCACCGGUGAAGAUAAUGACUGUAGCCGGAGAAGAAGCCCCGGCUAACUUCGUGCCAGCCGCCGCGGUAA
RNAcentral lists this ribosomal RNA (449 nucleotides) under uncultured bacterium. Its description in RNAcentral is "partial 16S ribosomal RNA". It matches the Rfam family "Bacterial small subunit ribosomal RNA", at positions 29 to 523 of the family's 1533-position model. The record is from RNAcentral.